Long non-coding RNA from Pan troglodytes (chimpanzee), 498 nucleotides. RefSeq lists it as uncharacterized. The transcript has 3 exons. NCBI's taxonomy places the organism in Eukaryota, Metazoa, Chordata, Mammalia, Primates, Hominidae. The record is from RefSeq and is a predicted model, not a curated record.
UCCGCCCUCAUGGAUUGGUGGUUGGUAUCAGCUGCUCCACCUUUUCUACCAUUUACUGAACGAGUUGAGGAAAAAGGGAAGGAGUCUCGUCUUUACAUCCUUAUUUUCUUUUUUUAUUGGUUGGCAACUAUGCCACUCACGUGGUGGAGAGGCGGGGCAAUAGUUGGAGAUGAUUGGUUCUGAGAAUUGGCUGUGAAAGCGGCAUUGCUGACCAGUGAGAGAGACCUAAUGAGAGAGGAGCAGGCCGGGGCAACCAAUGAAAUCGGAGAAGAGCGCUUGGGGGCGUGUCCGCCUGCUUUCAGCCUUUGGCAAGUUGGUGGGAGCUAAAAUCAGUCAUCUUCCUGCAAAGGCAUGAGGAGGAAAAGAGAGGCAGUAACUGAGCGAUAAUAUGCUGUAUGAGCCUCCUGCUCUGCUGCCCAUUACCUGCGUCACCUCCACAAGCUACUGAACCUCAAGGAACCCAUCUCCUCAUCAGGAAAAAAAAUAAGCUUUAUGUAG